UCUCCAAAGGCCAGUCAAGGAACCAUGAAAUCAGCAGAGACAAGUUUGGCCGAAAGGGAGUGUAACAAGAAUCCUCCCGACCAAGCAGACUUCUCUGCCUUUCCAGACCUUUGAAAGACUGGUUCUGCAGCACCUCAGGCCAACGACUGCCUGGACCCACCGUGAGCUCUGUGAGGAUCAUCUCUGACUUCUCCAGCUCUUUCGACAUUGGCCUCUCUGGCUGGCAGAGGAGCGCUCUGUGAUGCAACGAUACUGUCACCAUUUCUGUUCACCCUCUACACCUCUGACGUUUGCUUCAACUUACGAACGUGCCACCUACAGAAGUUCUUUGAAGAACAUCCAAGAACUUCUCAGGAGCACUUCCAGUCACUAAUCCAGCCCUGUGCAUCAAAGCCCUUGGGAGGCUCAUUUGUGCCAUCAGACAUCUGACUCCACAACGCCACCGCAUGCAGUACUUCCCACUUCCACUGAGACUACCUGUCAAGAACAACUUUCUUUUUUAUGCACAAUACCUUGAAACAUUGCACAUGUAGAUUAUUGCUUUAUUGUAUAUUUUUUAUUUUAUUUUAUUUUAUUUUUAUCCUUUUCUGCUCUUUGCACUACAUAUCCCCAUGUGCCGAAUUUGAAUUUCCCCUACUGGGGAUCAAUAGGGUGACAUUUUAUUUUAUCUUAUGUUAGUUUUUAUGUUUUGUUUUUUAUGUAUGUGUAUGAUUCCGUAUGUAUGUGUAUGUAUAUAUCUAAAUGUAUGUAUGUGUGUAGAUAUCUAUAUGGAUGUAUACGUGUAUGUAUGUGCGUGUUUAUAUUUUUGUUUGUGAAGCACUUUGUAACUGGAUUGUGUUGUAUAAAUAAAGCUUUACUUAAAGAA
Dicentrarchus labrax (European seabass) is the source of this 865-nucleotide long non-coding RNA. RefSeq lists it as uncharacterized. The record is from RefSeq and is a predicted model, not a curated record. NCBI's taxonomy places the organism in Eukaryota, Metazoa, Chordata, Actinopteri, Moronidae. The transcript has 2 exons.